This 481-nucleotide ribosomal RNA is filed under the name uncultured soil bacterium. Its description in RNAcentral is "bacterial SSU rRNA". It matches the Rfam family "Bacterial small subunit ribosomal RNA", at positions 26 to 506 of the family's 1533-position model. The record is from RNAcentral.
AGAUUGAACGCUGGCGGCAUGCCUUACACAUGCAAGUCGAACGGCAGCACGGGAGCAAUCCUGGUGGCGAGUGGCGAACGGGUGAGUAAUACAUCGGAACGUGCCCAAUCGUGGGGGAUAACGCAGCGAAAGCUGUGCUAAUACCGCAUACGAUCUACGGAUGAAAGCAGGGGACCGCAAGGCCUUGCGCGAGUGGAGCGGCCGAUGGCAGAUUAGGUAGUUGGUGAGGUAAAGGCUCACCAAGCCUUCGAUCUGUAGCUGGUCUGAGAGGACGACCAGCCACACUGGGACUGAGACACGGCCCAGACUCCUACGGGAGGCAGCAGUGGGGAAUUUGGACAAUGGGCGCAAGCCUGAUCCAGCCAUGCCGCGUGCAGGAUGAAGGCCUUCGGUUGUAAACUGUCUUUUGUACGGAACGAAAGGUCCUUACGUAAUAAGGGCUCGAUGACGGUACGUAAGAAUAAGCACCGGCUAACUACGU